RNAcentral lists this ribosomal RNA (1481 nucleotides) under uncultured Bordetella sp. Its description in RNAcentral is "partial 16S-23S ribosomal RNA intergenic spacer". It matches the Rfam family "Bacterial small subunit ribosomal RNA". Lineage: Bacteria; Pseudomonadati; Pseudomonadota; Betaproteobacteria; Burkholderiales; Alcaligenaceae. The record is from RNAcentral.
UUCGAUUACAUUCAGAUUGAACGCUGGGCGGAUGCUUUACACAUGCAAGUCGAACGGCAGCACGGACUUCGGUCUGGUGGUGAGUGGCGUGAACGGGGUGAGUAAUGUAUCGGAACGUGCCUAGUAGCGGGGAUAACUACGCGAAAGGGUAGCUAAUACCGCAUAUUGCCCUUCGGGGAAAGCGGGGACCUUCGGGGCCUCGCACUAUUAGAGCGGCCGAUAUCGGAUUAGCUAGCGAAAACGGCUCACCAAGGCGACGAUCCGCAGCCGGGGUUAUUUGAGAGGACACCAGCCACACUGGGACUGAGACACGGCCCAGACUCACGGGAGGCAGCAGUGGGGAAUUUUGACAAUGGGGAAACCCUGAUCCAGCCAUCCUCCGCGUGUGCGAUGAAGGCCUUUCGGGGUUGUGUAAAAGCACUUUUGGCAGGUGAAACGCAUCGGGAUAAUACCCUGUGCAACUGGACGGCACUGCAGAAUAAGCAACGGCUAACUACGUGCCAGCAGCCGCGGUAAUACGUAGGGGUAAAGUGGGGCGUUAAUCGGAAUUACUGGGCGGAAGCGUGGGCAGGCGGUUCGGAAAGAAAGAUGUGAAAUCCCAGAGCUUUUAAUUUGAACUGCAUUUUUAACUACCGAGCGCAAGAGCGUGUUUGAGUAUGUGAAUUCCGCGGGCAGUGGGAAAUGCGUAGAUAUGAGAACACUGAUGGCAGUAGCAGCCUCCUGGGAUAACACUGACGCUCAUGCACGAAAGCGCGGGGAGCAAACAGGAUUAGAUACCCGGUAGUCCACGCCCUAAACGAUGUCAACUAGCUGUUGGGGCCUUCGGGCCUUUGGUAGCGGUGCCAACGCGAAGACCGCCUGGGGAGUACGGUCGCAAGAUUAAACUCAAAGAACGACGGGACCUGCACAAGCGGUGGAUGACGUGGAUAAUCUGAUGCAACGCGAAAACCUACCUACCCUUGACAUGUCUGAAUCCCGAAGAGAUUUGGGAGGCUGCAAGAGAACCGGAACACAGGUGCUGCAUGGCUGUCGUCAGCUCGUGUCGUGAGAUGUCGGGUUAAGUCCCGCAACGAGCGGCAACCCCUUGUCGUUAGUUGCGCUACGAAAGGGCACUCUGACGAGACUGCCGGUGACAACCGGAGGAAGGUGGGGAUGACGUCAAGUCCUCAUGGCCCUUAUGGGUAGGGCUUCACACGUCAUACAAUGGUCGGGACAGAGGGUCGCCAACCCGCGAGGGGGAGCCAACGAAUCCCAGAAACCCGAUCGUAGUCCGGAUCGCAGUCUGCAACUCGACUGCGUGAAGUCGGAAUCGCCAGGAAUCGCGGAUCAGCAUGGUGUCGCGUGUGAAUACGCCCGGCCCGGUACAGCUCCCGCCCGUCACACCAUGGGAGUGGGGUUUUACCAGAAGUAGUUAGCCUAACCGUAAGGAGGGCGAUUACCACGGUAGGAUUCAUGACUGGGGCGAAGUCGUAACAAGGUAG